CGCUGGCGGCGUGCUUAACACAUGCAAGUCGAACGGAGAUUAUUAAUGAAGCUGCGAUUAAUAAUCUUAGUGGCGGACGGGUGAGUAACGCGUGGGCAACCUACCCAUAAGCGGGGGAUAACAGUUGGAAACGACUGCUAAUACCGCAUAAGCUAUUAAGGUCACAUGACCUUAAUAGUAAAGGUGGCGAUUUUUACAUUGCUAUCACUUAUGGAUGGGCCCGCGUCUGAUUAGCUAGUUGGUGGGAUAGCAGCCUACCAAGGCAACGAUCAGUAGCCGGCCUGAGAGGGUGGACGGCCACACUGGGACUGAGACACGGCCCAGACUCCUACGGGAGGCAGCAGUGGGGAAUAUUGCGCAAUGGGGGAAACCCUGACGCAGCGACGCCGCGUGAGCGAAAGAAGGCCUUAGGGUCGUAAAGCUCUGUUGUAAGGGACGAAUGUUUAUCUGGCGAACAGUCAGAUAAAGUGACGGUACCUUACCAGCAAGCCCCGGCUAACUACGUGCCAGCCGCAGC
Molecule: ribosomal RNA, 517 nt
Filed under: uncultured bacterium
Lineage: Bacteria
Description: bacterial SSU rRNA
Rfam family: Bacterial small subunit ribosomal RNA
Source: RNAcentral